UGAGUUGAGUUGAGUUGAGUUAUGACUGGUUCCAUAUCCAGUCAAGAACAGUUUUGAAACACUGUUACUGAACUGGCAAUGGCAUGGUCCCUGGGGAUUGAUUUUGUGGACAAAAAUAAAUAAAGAAAAAUGAAUAACAAAUGUUCCAUUAAAUUCAAUGGAAAAUGGUCUUUUAGAGCUUCUGUGUUUCCUAUGAAAUUUUCUAUUUUGAUCAUGGGUAUACCUUGUUUGUUUCUUGAUCAGAAAGGCCAUGGAAACUUUUAUGAGUCUAUUAUUCUUUAUGAAUAUAUUUCUUUUACAGUUAAGGAUGGUCUUACCUCCCUCCCUUUCCCUCUUCCCCUUGGUUUCCCUGGAAAACCUCUCCCUGUAACCAAUUUUCAAACAGAAGAUUGAGCCAUCAAAAAGUAACAAAGGAGACUGGGG
RNAcentral lists this unclassified non-coding RNA (423 nucleotides) under Hevea brasiliensis (rubber tree). The record is from RNAcentral. Lineage: Eukaryota; Viridiplantae; Streptophyta; Magnoliopsida; Malpighiales; Euphorbiaceae.